AUUUUAAUAGUAAAAACGAUUAUAAACGGGGAGAUGACACAUUACUCCUAUUUGAAGACGACUCUAAAGACUUUUCUUCAUUUUGGAAAUGGUGGAAUGAAGCAAUCGAAAGCCCAGCCAUGAUUCAAAUGUCAGCAGAAACCCAAGAAGCUUACAAGCGAGCGUUAUCAUAUACCUUGAUGAUCCGGCAUAUGGGCCCUGUGACAGAAACAGAAUGGAUAGGGAAAAUCUAUGAAUCGCUGAUUACAUACAAGUACCAUGGGAGUCCGACUACGACCUACCCUCAAGUUAUGGAGAAGAAGUUCCCCGUUUUCCUGACCUGGUGUGGUAAUGUUCUGGAAGAAAAGGACAAAAGAAAGAAAGAAGAAAACGAUUCUGCUCUGAAGACGGAAGAAAAAAAGUUACAGCAAUCUUUUAUAAAGAAGAACAAGCUGAGUGAAAAAGAUCUAAAUAAAGCAUUGGAGUUUCUUGAAGACUUGUUGAAAAACAGCAAGUAUAUUGAUGGAAAUGAAUGGUCGUUGAUGGACGAUGCAAUAUCUGCUUUAUUUGAAGAGUCUUAUUGCCUCUCCGACAAGAAUAUUCUAAAAUACAUUAACAAGAUGCGAGACGUGUCGUUAGAGAUCAAAGAGAAAGAUAACAACGAAGAAGAAGUACUGGAGAAGUAUCCAUUCCUAAAGCUGCAAUCUCCUAAGGAUUUGAACAUGCUUGAACGACACCUCGCAAGAUCAACUUUCAUAGAUGGAGACGAACCGAGUAAAG
This is a non-coding RNA of Paramuricea clavata, 759 nucleotides long. Lineage: Eukaryota; Metazoa; Cnidaria; Anthozoa; Malacalcyonacea; Plexauridae. The record is from the annotation of a GenBank genome assembly.